AUGUCUGGAAGACUGUGGUCCAAGGCCAUUUUUGCUGGCUAUAAACGGGGUCUCCAGAACCAAAGGGAGCACACAGCUCUUCUUAAAAUUGAAGGUGUUUAUGCCUGAGAUGAAACAGAAUUCUAUUUGGGCAAAAAGGCCCACGGAAACAGUGGCAUGGUUCAUGCCAAAUUCCAAAGCGAUCUUCCUGCUAAGACUAUUGGACACGGAAUCUGAGUGAUGCUGUACCCCUCAAGGAUU
Molecule: long non-coding RNA, 240 nt
Filed under: Homo sapiens (human)
Lineage: Eukaryota; Metazoa; Chordata; Mammalia; Primates; Hominidae
Description: non-protein coding lnc-VIPR1-2:1
Source: RNAcentral